UUCUGCGGGUAAAAAGUGAAAUUCUUGGACCGCAGCAGGACGGACUACAGCGAAAGCAUUUGCCAAGCGCGUCUUCAUUAAUCAAGAACGAAAGUCAGAGGUUCGAAGGCGAUCAGAUACCGCCCUAGUUCUGACCGUAAACGAUGCCAACUAGCGAUCCGUCGGUGGCUCCAAGGCCCUGAUGGGGAGCUUCCCGGAAACGAAAGUCUUCCGGUUCCGGGGGAAGUAUGGUUGCAAAGCUGAAACUUAAAGGAAUUGACGGAAGGGCACCACCAGGAGUGGAGCCUGCGGCUUAAUUUGACUCAACACGGGAAAACUCACCCGGCCCGGACACCGUGAGGAUUGACAGAUUGAUAGCUUUUUCAUGAUUCGGUGGUUGGUGGUGCAUGGCCGUUCUUAGUUCGUGGAUCGAUUUGUCUGGUUUAUUCCGAUAACGAGCGAGACUCCAGCCUACUAAAUAGUGCGGGAAUUGCCACUGUUCCCUUGCACUUCUUAGAGGGAUUGGCUGCGUCUAGCGGCACGAAACGGAGCAAUAACAGGUCUGUGAUGCCCUUAGAUGUCCGGGGCUGCACGCGCGCUACACUGGCAAAGGCAGCGUGCUUGUCCGUCUCCGAAAGGAGUCGGUAAACCCUUGAAAAUUUGCCGUGAUUGGGAUCGGAAAUUGCAAUUAUUUUCCGUGAACGAGGAAUUCCUAGUAAGUGCGAGUCAUCAGCUCGCGUUGAUUACGUCCCUGCCCUUUGUACACACCGCCCGUCGCUGCCUAGAACUGAGCCAUUUCGAGAAUAUUCGGGAUCGCUGGUUGCGCGCUCUUCGGGGCGUGCCUCCGGCCGGAGAACGAACGUAAUCGCAGUGGCUUGAACCGGGCAAAAGUCGUACCAAAGGUA
Molecule: ribosomal RNA, 884 nt
Filed under: Criconemoides informis
Lineage: Eukaryota; Metazoa; Nematoda; Chromadorea; Rhabditida; Criconematidae
Description: SSU rRNA
Rfam family: Eukaryotic small subunit ribosomal RNA
Source: RNAcentral